Long non-coding RNA from Thalassophryne amazonica, 154 nucleotides. RefSeq lists it as uncharacterized. NCBI's taxonomy places the organism in Eukaryota, Metazoa, Chordata, Actinopteri, Batrachoidiformes, Batrachoididae. The record is from RefSeq and is a predicted model, not a curated record. The transcript has 3 exons.
AGACUGCUGGGCUGACCACAUCAUGUGGUCUGACCACAGACUGUGUGGGUUGGACGGGUUUAAAACAGUCCAACAUGGCGGCGGCAGAAUGAAGCCAUGAGGGAAUCUGUUACUACGGCGUGUUCUAUUGAGUGUCACCUCUUGGUACUAUAUU